Molecule: small RNA, 475 nt
Filed under: Pan troglodytes (chimpanzee)
Lineage: Eukaryota; Metazoa; Chordata; Mammalia; Primates; Hominidae
Description: retained intron
Source: RNAcentral
AUGAACUUUCUGCUGUCUUGGGUGCAUUGGAGCCUUGCCUUGCUGCUCUACCUCCACCAUGCCAAGUGGUCCCAGGCUGCACCCAUGGCAGAAGGAGGAGGGCAGAAUCAUCACGAAGUGGUGAAGUUCAUGGAUGUCUAUCAGCGCAGCUACUGCCAUCCAAUCGAGACCCUGGUGGACAUCUUCCAGGAGUACCCUGAUGAGAUCGAGUACAUCUUCAAGCCAUCCUGUGUGCCCCUGAUGCGAUGCGGGGGCUGCUGCAAUGACGAGGGCCUGGAGUGUGUGCCCACUGAGGAGUCCAACAUCACCAUGCAGGUGGGCAUCUUUGGGAAGUGGGGCAAGGGGGGGAUAGGGAGGGGGGUAACACUUUGGGAACAGGUGGUCCCAGGUCGUUUCCUGGCUAGAUUUGCCUUGUCUGGCUCCUGCCCCUGAGUUGCACAGGGGAGGUAUGGUGGGGUCUUGCCUUCUGUAGAGA